RNAcentral lists this long non-coding RNA (722 nucleotides) under Ictidomys tridecemlineatus (thirteen-lined ground squirrel). RNAcentral describes it as "lncRNA (ENSSTOG00000029791.1)". The record is from RNAcentral. Lineage: Eukaryota; Metazoa; Chordata; Mammalia; Rodentia; Sciuridae.
GGGCAUUUCUUAUGGUACGUGAACUGUGGCCCUCCGGUCAUCUCUGAACUUUUCCUUCUAAUUACCACCAUGCAGAUGUGAACCCUGCUGCUAUUCAGGGAACCCGUCUAGACUUUCUUGUUUGUCGUCAUUAAAAAGGAAGAUGAUUUAGGAAGAAACGAGUCUUGCUUUUCUGGAGACGCAGGCUGUAGGACUAAUUGGCGGUGUUCUCUGGCUCAUGGCGAGGCCAGCCUCUGCCCACGUUAAAUUUGGUUAGUUAGGACUCUUACUUUGUUUCCUGGGUUUUGGUUUUAAAUGAUCCCGUUUAAGAGAUCAUUUUUGGUUCAUAUUCAGUUUUAAGCACUAAUACAGUCAGACAUGUCUUCUCUCCGACACCCUCUAAGGGCAAUUCUACAAAACUAAGGACAACAUCCCAACCAGGACGCUGACGUGGUCAAGAGACGGAACCCACAGCGACCCUCCUCUUUUGCUCUUGGAGCUGUCUCCAGUUAAAGUGUCUUUGUGAGAACUCAACCUGAAGGGAGCUCAAGCAAGAAGAGAAAAGAGUGUCUUAGAAGAUGCAGAGUGGCAGAAUCCGUGCGAUGACCAGGACGGUCAGUGGCCCCCCUCAGAGGCAGGAAGGCCGUCCUCUGAGAGAAGCAGAGAGGUGACCAUCUCCCAUCUUCUGGUGAGGACGUCUCAGUAUUGGCUGCACUUUAUACCCGACCUGGGCCUCGCCCCGU